GCUGGUGUAGCUCAAUGCGGCAGAGCAACUGACUUGUAAUCAGUAGGUUGUAGGUUCAACUCCUGUCACCAGCUUCA
Molecule: transfer RNA, 77 nt
Filed under: Nostoc sp. PCC 7524
Lineage: Bacteria; Bacillati; Cyanobacteriota; Cyanophyceae; Nostocales; Nostocaceae
Description: tRNA-Thr
Rfam family: tRNA
About the family: Transfer RNA (tRNA) molecules are approximately 80 nucleotides in length.
Source: RNAcentral